UACAGAGGUCCCAAGCGUUGUUCGGAUUCACUGGGCGUAAAGGGUGCGUAGGCGGUCGGGUAAGUCUGAUGUGAAAUCUCCAAGCUCAACUUGGAAAUGGCAUCGGAUACUAUUCGGCUCGAGGAAUGGAGGGGAGACUGGAAUACUUGGUGUAGCAGUGAAAUGCGUAGAUAUCAAGUGGAACACCAGUGGCGAAGGCGAGUCUCUGGACAUUUCCUGACGCUGAGGCACGAAAGCCAGGGGAGCAAACAGG
RNAcentral lists this ribosomal RNA (253 nucleotides) under uncultured bacterium. RNAcentral's name for it is "partial 16S ribosomal RNA". It matches the Rfam family "Bacterial small subunit ribosomal RNA", at positions 524 to 776 of the family's 1533-position model. The record is from RNAcentral.